AUGUCUGCUAUGGAGAUUUUUGGGCAUGUCAGAGAAGUUGAUUCUAAUCCAAAUAUCUUCAUUGUUUAUCGCAUCUUGUUUACUAUCCUUGUGGUGGUUGUAUCGGCUGAAAGAAGUAUUAGAAAGGUGAAACUGUUGAAGAAUUAUUUGAGGUCAACAAUGACUCAAAAGAGGUUAAAUGAUUUGGCUACAUUGUGCAUUGAGAAGAAAUUAUUGGAUGAGAUUGACAUUGACUCCAUCAAAAGUGACUUUGCAUCGAGGAAUGUUAAAAGAAAAUUUUAA
Molecule: ribosomal RNA, 282 nt
Filed under: Triticum aestivum (bread wheat)
Lineage: Eukaryota; Viridiplantae; Streptophyta; Magnoliopsida; Poales; Poaceae
Description: partial small subunit ribosomal RNA
Source: RNAcentral